RNAcentral lists this ribosomal RNA (117 nucleotides) under Danio rerio (zebrafish). The record is from RNAcentral. Lineage: Eukaryota; Metazoa; Chordata; Actinopteri; Cypriniformes; Danionidae.
ACUAACAGCCAUAUCACCCUGCAGCCCAUGACCGGUUACUCACUGAAGCUAAGCAGGGCUGAGCCUGGUUAGUACCUGGAUGGGAGACCACUAGGGAACACUAGGUUGCUGUUGGAA